GAUGAACGCUGACAGAAUGCUUAACACAUGCAAGUCAACUUGAACUUCGGUUUGGGUGGCGGACGGGUGAGUAACGCGUAAAGAACUUGCCUCACAGAUAGGGACAACAUUUGGAAACGAAUGCUAAUACCUGAUAUUAUGAUUAUAUGACAUCGUAUAAUUAUGAAAGCUAUAUGCGCUGUGAGAGAGCUUUGCGUCCCAUUAGCUAGUUGGAGAGGUAACGGCUCACCAAGGCGAUGAUGGGUAGCCGGCCUGAGAGGGUGAUCGGCCACAAGGGGACUGAGACACGGCCCUUACUCCUACGGGAGGCAGCAGUGGGGAAUAUUGGACAAUGGACCAAGAGUCUGAUCCAGCAAUUCUGUGUGCACGAUGAAGUUUUUCGGAAUGUAAAGUGCUUUCAGUUGGGAAGAAAAAAAUGACGGUACCAACAGAAGAAGUGACGGCUAAAUACGUG
RNAcentral lists this ribosomal RNA (454 nucleotides) under uncultured bacterium. RNAcentral describes it as "partial 16S ribosomal RNA". It matches the Rfam family "Bacterial small subunit ribosomal RNA", at positions 28 to 507 of the family's 1533-position model. The record is from RNAcentral.